Cherax quadricarinatus is the source of this 1638-nucleotide non-coding RNA. The record is from RefSeq and is a predicted model, not a curated record. NCBI's taxonomy places the organism in Eukaryota, Metazoa, Arthropoda, Malacostraca, Decapoda, Parastacidae.
AAGGCAUUAUACAGACCAGGAAAUUGUCAACAUUAAUGUCACUUCAUCAGACUUCCGGGCCACCCUCCCAGCACAGGUAGCAGAAGGACGCCCAUAUGCCCUCUGGGCAGCAUGGACAUUUCUCAUUAGCUUUGCUUCAUGGUUAUUCUUAACAUCUGAAAUAUGUGCUAGACUUACUGAGGCAAUAUUAAACAACUGGCGAGAGGCUGAAGCACAGAAUGACCACCAAGACUGAUACUUGCUUUAGAAUAAGAGAGCAAGUUUUCUUUAAUUGUUGCAGAAAGGAAAAACAAAUGUAAUUAUUUUUAAUCAUUAACCCAAAUUUAGAGAGGAAAUUUAGCAUUUUGGCUCAUCCUGGAUUAUUAUCAAGUCACAGUUGUUCAUGACACUCUCAAAUGUCAUCUGGAGUUUUUCAAAUGACAGGUUAAUUGCAAAUUAUUUUUAGCCAUGAUAUUGUGAUUUAUUCUUUUUAAUAAAUUUGUAUGUACAGUGGUACCAUGACUUACGAGUGCCCCAACUUAUGAGUUUUCCCGAAUUUCGAGUCGUUGCUCGAUCAGUUUUUUGCUUUCAGUUAUAAGCGAGCUUCAGAUACACUGCCAUUUGCAGGAGAUACCGAGGAAAUAUCACAAACUUUGAUAAUAACCAAUGUGUAACAUCCUUUCAAUUUUGAUGCAACUGGUAGUGUCAUCCUGCCAGAAUGUUCUAUAACGCAUGCCCUAAGUAAAGAGAAACAGUUCUGGAACAUGUGUAAUACAUGUUUGGCAGGCCGGCUGGUUGGGUGGCCAGUUGACUGGCCAGCUGGCUGAUUUGAUUUGGCUGUCUGUCUGUAUCUAUCUCUGUCUCUGUGUCUCUGUCUAUCUCUGUCUCUGUCUAUCUCUGUCUCUGUCUCACAAGUACACAUAAAUACAGUUAUACAUAGUGUAAAUUAUCUAGGAUAACCCAAAAAAAUCCAGACAAAGUGUUACACUAUGCUUAUAGAUAUAAGGCAUAAUAAGCAUGACUGGCAAGUAAUACACAUUUUCACUUGUUCAGGAAUCAUGUGUGACAACUCUGCAUCAUGUGUAAUACCUGCUGGUUCAUGAAUGGCUCUCUCUGAGACAGAGAGACAAGUAGAGAGACAGGAAGUCAGAAACACAGGCAGACAGAAAGGCAUAUAAGCAGAGACAGAGAUAAACAUAGACAGAUAGACAAUGUUUAUGUGUAACAGUGAAAAAUAAGGCCAAGGCAGUGCAUGACCAUCAAAUAUCACUCCACUGCUGCCCUGUCAGCAGUGGAGUGACACUCAUCUUACACUGUGCUUCAAGGAGUUUCAUAUAUACUCCAGCAUUUCUUAAACAUUCCUGGGAACUGACAAAAAUCAUUUCUUUUUUAUAAAUACAGUUUUCUUCUUUAAAAACCUGUAAGAAAAAAAUUGGGUUUUUUUUUGGGGGGGGAACUGGAACAGAUUAAUGGCAUUUCAGUAAAUUUCAUUGAGGAAAAUUGAUUUGAUAUACGAUAAAUUGAGUCACUAGCUGGGUCACGGAACAAAUUGAACUCAUAAGUCAAGGUACCACUGUAUUAGAGUUUUCAAGUGAGUCAGAAGCUCAAGUAGAAAGUUUGUCUGUACAUAAGUAAUAACUUAAAUAAAUAUAUUUAUUU